This 5898-nucleotide unclassified non-coding RNA is filed under the name Hevea brasiliensis (rubber tree). Lineage: Eukaryota; Viridiplantae; Streptophyta; Magnoliopsida; Malpighiales; Euphorbiaceae. The record is from RNAcentral.
CAAAGAACCCCAGCGCCAUGUCAUGACUACAACUUGGUUGAAGCAGCAGAUGAUUCAGGCUAAAUCUUCCACGCCACAUUUCAUAUAUCUAAAGAUUCAAUCACAUGACAUAAAAAUGCUUGUACCUUCCAAGCGUUUUUGUCUAGCCAUUUAACUACAGGUUAUGCCACCAAAACAUGUCAAUGAACAAUGCCGAACCCACAUCGUGCCUGGGCAUAAUUAUGCUUAAGGUGAUAUUUAGAGCAAUUUUCACAUUCCUGAAGACACAACACUCGAGUUCAUUGCAAAGUUAAUGGACAACAGAAAACAGAACUUGAACACUUCCCAACAUAAUUUAAGACAGGAUACAAGCUUCUGAUUCAUGCAGAAAAUAAUUACCCGGUAAUUCAGCAAUUCCAAGGUUUGCCUUUUAGCAAGUAACCUUUUUGUGGCAUUAACGAUAGAGGAAGAGUCGUAAACAGAAAAUAUCUCCUCUAGAAAUUUGGUUUAAUAAAGCACAUGAAAUAGUGAAACAGUGAAACACAGUCAAAGUUGCAGAACCAAUAAAUUUCACAUGUAUACAAACAGCAAUGAGAUUAAUGUCCACUCAAGACAGUUCUCUCCUGGGCGAUGAAUUUUACAAUAGUGAAAACAUUCUUAUCUUUCUUUUUUUUUUUUUUCGCAUUCAAAUAUAUCACUCAAAGGUGGAGUAGGUUAAAAGUACAGCAAGUAUCCAAAAACACCUCUGGCUAUUCAGCAAGAGAUUGAAAACAAAAGGAUGUCAUACAUUAGUCGUCCUAUUUGUCUGACGAAACUACCUUUAAACUGUGAAGGCAAAAUUUUUUUCAUUAGAAAAGGCUACUUCAGAAUAUUGUCAACUCAAUAAUAUAUUGAGAGUGUCCGAUGGUGUCGAAGAGAUGGGCACCGCACGCCAAAAGCCCAGAGCCAAAGGUCCAAUUCAAUACUCAGCACCUGAGUAAACAAGUAACCAAAUUAGAAUAAUGAAAGAAGAGAUGUGGAGAAACAAUAGAAGAAGAUAAAGGCUCAUGCUUUUAAGUUAAUGAUAAAACAUGACAAAGUUAGAUGGGCUGUCUCUGCAGGACAAUUAGCGGAGAUAGGAAAGGGAAACUCUUCUACUGGUAGCAACCAUCAAUAAAGACUUUUGAUCUUUGAAGCAUUUUUAUACAUUAAACAUCUAAUUCUAUGAAUUUCGUUCAACUUUAUGAGAAUCUGGCAUAGCAGGUAAAUACUCCACUGCAACCCAACAUGGCAUCAUCAAGCAUCAGGGAAAUGAUGAAUAUUAAAAGAUCUUUUAGUCAUGAACUGCAGUCCAUACUGCAGCAAAUUCAAUUACAGUGAGACAACAUGAUGCAUUGCGGAAUUAGAUAAUCAUCUAGAGCAAUUAACAAGUCCACUGGAUGUGUCUCAGUGCGAUUUUAUCUGCCAAAAUCAAUCAUUAUGCCUUCAAAUGCACGCAAUGAAUUUUCUGGAUGCGUGUACCAAAGCACAUUGCUGGUAUAUGAAAGAUCAAUUUAAUCAGGGACUUCUUAUGAGAUGCUACUGAUAUAGGCUAAGGUUCACACAAUCAAAGAAAUUCAUACUAAAUAUUUGAAGACCCAGACAUACAAUUAUGAGUUGCAUCUGGAUUACUUAUAAAUGCCCGCAAAUAUACCAAAAAGUAAAAAUAAAAAUAAUAAUCAAAAUCCCCAUUACUUGUCUAUAAAAGAGAUUUUGUUUCUCAAUAGCAACAGAUGGUUGUUGCAACCCACUCUUCAUUAGCAGCAAAUAUAGAUAUUUGCUAAAGAGAGAAUUAUCAUGACAAAAUAGUCUAAGUGAUUACUAGGAGUUUAAUACCAUAAAAAAUUACCAGAUAAAAGUGAAAAACAUUUGGAGAAAUUAUAAUUUUAGGUACAUAAGCAUUUCCACAAAGACAGUGUAUGAAGCACAUGCUUCUUUAACAAUACAAUGAAGUUUCUAACUUUCAGUAAUGAAGAGAAAUUAAAAUGAAAUAAGAUUGAUAAUUGCUUGACACUGAUAUGUAAUAUAAUAAAUAAAUAAAUGUGUGUAAAAGGAGAUAAUUUAACUAUACCUGCUUUCCUGAUUUUACACGAAGCAAGUCCCUCAUUUUCUCCACAGCAUAUAUGGAGCAUGCUCGUAAUUCAACUUCCUCCUCACUGCCUGAAAGUAUUUCAUUAUCAGACUCGAUCAUUCUGACAAGGGUUGAACUAUAUUUUAGCACACCAAGUUGCUGAAGCACAGCAGGAACAAUAUAGUCCGCAAAUAUAGUAAUUGAGCCAAUGUCCGUGAAUUCUCCAUAUCCUCGGCCCUUGAAUGCACCAAAUAGAUCAGCUGCAAAUAUCUGAGCUCUUUUAUACAAGAAUACUUGGUGGCCCUUGUAUACUGAGUGAUCUCGAAAGCCUAAAGCAUUUGAAUCAGGUGGAAGCAAUAUUUCACUAUUCUUGCAAACAAAUGCUACAUCAUCCUAUACAAUCAUAUUAUUAUAUGGCCACUUCUAAGGAAAUAAAAAUUCACAAUGAAGAGCCAAAAGAGAAAAAAAAAAUUACCAGGAAAGAUACUGGUUACAGUAGCAACAAGCUUUGCAGCUGAUUUCCCACAGGUCUCCACAAGAUUGGAUGCUUUACCUCCAAAACUUCUUUCCAGCUCAAAACCAACCUAAAUUAUGAAUUUACAGAUAUCAAGCAACUAAUUUUGUUUUAUUAUGAGGCUAAGAAAUUGCAUGUCAUCGGAAUUAGCUCCAUACAUAUGAAGAACUCAAACAUCAAGAAUUUCAAGUCUCACAAUAAUAAAAAUAAUAUCAAUUAGAACUUUAUAAACCUCAUGGAGUAAACGAAUCCGCUCAUCCUCCAAAGGAAGUGGCCUGGGCCAUUUUAACAAAUCACGUAAUUGAGGACCUGUGAACUUCUGCAGACGAUCAGCAUCAAACACAGAUUUGUCAUUUUCCAAAGCUGCCUUUAGGCCUGAUGCCAAAUGAUCAUAGCUUAAAUCCUUAUCUAUAAACAACAAGCAGCACAUUAUCCAAAAGAGGCAAAAAAGAAAACAUUAGUGAACUACAUAAAAAUAGUGUUAAAUAGCUGAAUGCAGAAAAUCCAUCUAAGGGGUUCCAUGUGAUAUUCAAAUGAGUUGACUAAUCCAUUAAAAUUAUAAACUAGUUAAACGAUUUUACAAUUACAAGUUGAAGAUGGCAAUUAAAUAAGUAAAAAAUGGAAAUUUUGUGAUUGCUGGAUGCCUCAUUUCAAUCCUUUCUUCGCUUGAUUAAAAAGUAUAAUUAAGCCUCAUAAAGCGUUUCCGCAACGUCAUCAAUGCAUAACAUAUUCUAACCUAGGAAAUGCAUAACCUGCAUUUGUCACUCUCUUUCUCUCUAUGCUUCAUUUUGAAAAAAAUGAGAAGUUAGAUCAGCCUAAAAUUCCAAGACAAACAAGUGAAGAACACAAUGGGUUUGAGGUAUAUACACAAGCACAAAUGGAGUGCUUUCAGGUCCCAUUUUAAAAAAAAAUGACUUCCAAAAGGUCCAGCAAAAGCAUCCUUAAAAUGUUUUUCAUUCCUUCACAAAAGCAAGCAAACAAUUACAAAAGGAUCAACAAAUCAUCCAAUGUAAGCAUCUGCCACAUGAUGUACCUUAAAAAGAAAAUGAAAAUUUAAAGCAAUCCUCAUCUUAAUUGCAAGAACAUAAGAUGACACUCCACAACUCACAGAUGCAAACUCCCACUAGUAACUUAUGAAAAUUCUUUAUUCAGAGUUCCAGACAGAAUAAUUAAGAGUAAUGGUUUUAUGCUGGAUUAAAAAUAUACCACUGUUUUUGUCCACCGAAAAAAAAAAUAUACCACUGUUUUACAUUUUUACGGCAUGAAGCUUCAACAUCAAUCAAGGCAAUAGGAAAUGCUGAACAAAAGCUUUUGAUGGAACAUGGCAAGGAAGAGUGCAAGAGAACAAGGACAGCAACUUUAAAGAACUAGCUUUAUCCUCCUAGCAAGAAUGGUGCCAAUCAAAGGUGGAAGAAACAGGGCCAGGUAGACACUAAGCAAAAUGAUAUGGGAAAACUACAAACUUAACUACACAAGCAAGCAAGAGGAGGCAUAACAAUAACGUCAAUGAUAGUACUUCACAUCAAUACACAUCCCAAGUGUUUACAGAACAGCUUUGAGACUCAAUAAAAUGAACCAUAAGGCCUUGUUUGAAAUGAUUCUUGUGCUAGAAUUCAAUUCAAUUCUAAUAAAAGAGUUCAAUUCAAAUGAAUUUUUAAAAAAAUUCAGGUGUUUGGAACCAAUUUUAAAAUGAUAGAAUUCAUUUGAAUCAUAUUGUUUGGAAUACUUGACAAAUGAAUGGAAGGUUCCUAUUUUUCUAGUUUGCCCCCUUAUUUACAAAUAAAUAAGUAUGACUUAAAGUAGGGGUGUUUUAAGUUUUAAAUAGAAUACUUAACUAAAUGAAUUGAAUUCUUGCAAAAUCAUGCCACUUUUUGCAUGAAUUCAUUUAUUUCAAAACGACUUAUUUUUAACUAAAAGAAUCGAAUUCUAUUAAUUUUAAACAUUCCAAACAUGAGAAUUAGUGAAAUAGAAGUCAAUUUGAAUUCUUUCAUUUUUAGACUUUCCGAGAACACCCUAAAAAGCUAGGGGAAAAUAAAAAUAUAAUUAAAUAAAACUCUCAAAGGAACAUAAAUACUGCAGAAAUUAAAAAAAAAAAAUCCAGUGGUACAGAAAUUGCAUUAAUUUGAUUAUUUCAAUUAACUUACAACCGCUGAAUCAAGAGAAACUUCACCGAGUUGUCUAACAACAAAGCAUACAAAGCAAAGAACUAGAGGUUUCCCAUCUAAUCAGAUCAUUAACCAGGCAUUGUAGUCAGAUAAACUUCUAAGUCCAUAGAGUGCCCUCAUUAUGCAAUUUCCUAUCAGCUCAAGUAACUUCCAUCCCAACUCUUCACUUUUUUUUUCUUGGUUCAAGUGCUUAUAUUAUGUUACCGUAAAGCAGACAGGACGGGAAAAGAAAAAAGAAGAGAAAAUAAAGGAAGAAGAUGAAAAAAUUUCUUCAUUCCAAAAAUAAAAUCAGCAAAUGGGUGAAAUUUGAAGGGUAAAACUUGUCCUGUGCGCUAAGAAAAAACAUGUUAACAUAGAGCAAGGCUCUUAACGAAAUGAUUCAACUAUUUGCUUUGCCCCUUCCAAUACUCCAUGUUAGGUUCCCCGCUUUAAUAAAGAAGAGAAGUUGAACAGAAGUAAUCCUAAGCCUGAGUCUACCAGCAAAAAUAAACACCAAUGAAACAACAAUUCUUGCGUUUUUCAGGCAAACUGCAGAAUAACAAAACCAGCAUUAAGGGAUAAGAAACAAGAAACAGAAAAUGGAGCAACAUACCAGGCCAGAAGCAAAAAUUCAACGUAUCCAAAACAAACAAAUACUGAACAGUUAGCGGUCCGUUAUCGAAGUAAUGAAUCCCUUCAAAAUCCCACUCUAUUCUCGGAAUUUCCUGAAUAUUCUCCACCGCUCUCUCAAUCCCUGCAGAGUCGACGACAACGUGAAAGGAACAGCUAGCCACCCAAGCAGCGCUGGCCCUGACCUCUUCCAUGGCUGCUGGCUGCUAAUUUUGAACCCUAAAAAAGGAUAGUAUUUUGGGAUACAUAUGGUUGAUAUACCAGUAAUAAAUAAUAUGAAUUAAAAAAAAAAAAAGGGAACACCGGUCUGGCGCGUGAGCCAAUAGUCUCCUAAUUCGAAGUUUCCCGCUUUUUGUGUGGCAGUUUUUCUACGUUGGUCUCCAUUUUCUCGUGUCCCCGGCCCGAUGCGUGGAGUAGGUCUCGACCACGGAAUCUCCACCGUAAGCAGGCCCACAGGCCGGCGUAUGGUUUGGGUCUCAAGUCUCAACGAGAAGUCCCACGUGCGCAGUGAGCAGGAGGGGACCAAUGAGCUUCAGCUCUCA